Molecule: transfer RNA, 76 nt
Filed under: Pseudomonas phage vB_PaeM_C2-10_Ab08
Lineage: Duplodnaviria; Heunggongvirae; Uroviricota; Caudoviricetes; Vandenendeviridae
Also listed under: 4 other names
Description: tRNA-Phe
Rfam family: tRNA
About the family: Transfer RNA (tRNA) molecules are approximately 80 nucleotides in length. Their secondary structure includes four short double-helical elements and three loops (D, anti-codon, and T loops). Further hydrogen bonds mediate the characteristic L-shaped molecular structure. tRNAs have two regions of fundamental functional importance: the anti-codon, which is responsible for specific mRNA codon recognition, and the 3' end, to which the tRNAs corresponding amino acid is attached (by aminoacyl-tRNA synthetases). tRNAs cope with the degeneracy of the genetic code in two manners: having more than one tRNA (with a specific anti-codon) for a particular amino acid; and 'wobble' base-pairing, i.e. permitting non-standard base-pairing at the 3rd anti-codon position.
Source: RNAcentral
GCGUCUGAAGCUAACUAGGUAGAAGCGCUGGGUUGAAAUUCCAGAGGACUUGGAUCGUUACCAAGCAGAUGCACCA